GAAGCUUUACAGAAGCUUCUGUAAAGCUUCUGUGAAGCUUCUGUAAAGCUUCUGUAAAGCUUCUGUGAAGUUUCUGUGAAGCUUCUGUGAAACUUCGAGCCUAAGGAGCUGGCUCCGAGCCUAGGGAGUAUAAGAUUGAAUCAUUGAAUUCUAAGAGUGAAUCAUUGAAUCAUAAAAGUGAUUCAUUGAAUCCUAAGAUUGAAUCAUUGAAUCGUAAGAUUGAAUCAUUGAAUCCUAAGAGUGAAUCAUUGAAUACUAAGAGUGAAUCAUUGAAUCAUUGAAUAGUAAGAUUGAAUUAUUGAAUCCUAAGAGUGAAUCAUUGAAUCCUAAGAGUGAAUCAUUGAAUCAUAAGAUUGAAUAAUUGAAUACUAAGAUUGAAUCAUUGAAUAGUAAUAUUGAAUCAUUGAAUCAUAAGAGUGAAUCAUUGAAUCAUAAGAUUGAAUCAUUGAAUCAUAAGAUUGAAUCGUUGAAUCAUAAGAGUGAAUCAUUGAAUCAUAAGAGUGAAUCAUUGAAUCAUAAGAGUGAAUCAUUGAAUCCUAAAGCCAUUCGAGGAUGAUAAGGAAGUUAAGAUAAGGAUAAGGAAGAUAAGAAGAUAAAAUUAAGAAGAUAAGAUAAGGAUAAGGAAGAUAAAAAGAUAAAGAUAAGGAAGAUAAAGAUAAAGAUAAAGAAGAUAAAAAGAUAAAGAUAAGGAGGAUAAAGAUAAGGAAGAUAAAGAUAAGGAAGAUAAAAAGGUAAAGAUAAGGAAGAUAAAGAUAAGGAAGAUAAAGAUAAGGAAGAUAAAAAGAUAAAGAUAAGGCUAAGGAAGAUAAGGAGAAGGAAGAUAAAGAUAAGGAUAAGGAAGAUAAAGAUAAGGAUAAGGAAGAUAAGAAGAUGAAGAUAAGGGUCGAUGUAGGGUCGAUGUAGGGUCGAUGUAGGGUCGAUGUGGGGUCGAUGUGGGGUCGAUGUGGGGUCGAUG
Non-coding RNA from Paramuricea clavata, 955 nucleotides. Lineage: Eukaryota; Metazoa; Cnidaria; Anthozoa; Malacalcyonacea; Plexauridae. The record is from the annotation of a GenBank genome assembly.